This is a long non-coding RNA of Bos taurus (domestic cattle), 507 nucleotides long. The record is from Ensembl. NCBI's taxonomy places the organism in Eukaryota, Metazoa, Chordata, Mammalia, Artiodactyla, Bovidae.
AGUCACUAGGAUGUGUCUGACCCUUUUGUGACCCAAUAGACUAUAGCCUGCCAGGCUCCACUGUCCAUGGGAUUUCCCAUGCAAGCAUACUCCUUCCACCUCCAGGGGAUUUUCCUGACCCAGGGAUCGAACCUGCAUCUCCUGCAUUGGUAGUGAAGUACAGACUUCACCAAACUUUGUCUGUUUAGCAGUUGGAGCGACAGUAACACAUGAUGCUGAAGAUCAAUUAAAAUUAUGAGCUGUGUUCAUAUUUUUGGCUCCUGAAAUCUUAUUUUGCAAGACAGAGAUGGUGAACUGCUGCUGCUGCUGCUGCUGCUAAGUCACAUCAGUCAUGUCCAACUCUGUGUGACCCCAUAGAUGGCAGCCCACCAGGCACCCCCGUCCAUAGGAUUCUCCAGGCAAGAACCCUGGAGUGGGUUGCGAUUUCCUUCUCCAGUCAUGAAAGUAAAAAGUGAAAGUGAAGUCGGUCAGUCGUGUCUGCCUCUUCGCAACCCCAUGGAUUAUAGC